UAGUGGCGGACGGGUGAGUAACGCGUGGAGAACCUGCACUGUACUGGGGGAUAGCAGCUGGAAACGGCUGGUAAUACCGCAUGAGACCACGGGAGGGCAUCCUCCUGAGGCAAAAGAUUUAUCGGUACAGAAUGGAUCCGCGUUUGAUUAGCCAGUUGGCGGGGUAACGGCCCACCAAAGCGACGAUCAAUAGCCGGCCUGAGAGGGCGGACGGCCACAUUGGGACUGAGACACGGCCCAGACUCCUACGGGAGGCAGCAGUGGGGGAUAUUGCACAAUGGACGAAAGUCUGAUGCAGCGACGCCGCGUGAGUGAAGAAGUAUUUCGGUAUGUAAAGCUCUAUCAGCAGGGAAGAAAGGCUCCGGAAGGAGAGAUGACGGUACCUGAGUAAGAAGCCCCGGCUAACUACGUGCCAGCAGCCGCGGUAAUACGUAGGGGGCAAGCGUUAUCCGGAUUUACUGGGUGUAAAGGGAGCGCAGACGGAUGCGCAAGUCUGAUGUGAAAGCCCGGGGCUCACCCCCGGGACUGCAUUGGAAACUGUGCGUCUGGAGUACUGGAAGGGCAAGCGGAAUUCCUGGUGUAGCGGUGAAAUGCGUAGAUAUCAGGAGGAACACCGGAGGCGA
Molecule: ribosomal RNA, 623 nt
Filed under: uncultured Acinetobacter sp.
Lineage: Bacteria; Pseudomonadati; Pseudomonadota; Gammaproteobacteria; Moraxellales; Moraxellaceae
Description: bacterial SSU rRNA
Rfam family: Bacterial small subunit ribosomal RNA
Source: RNAcentral